This 574-nucleotide ribosomal RNA is filed under the name uncultured Bradyrhizobium sp. RNAcentral describes it as "bacterial SSU rRNA". It matches the Rfam family "Bacterial small subunit ribosomal RNA", at positions 52 to 670 of the family's 1533-position model. The record is from RNAcentral. Lineage: Bacteria; Pseudomonadati; Pseudomonadota; Alphaproteobacteria; Hyphomicrobiales; Nitrobacteraceae.
CACAUGCAAGUCGAGCGGGCGUAGCAAUACGUCAGCGGCAGACGGGUGAGUAACGCGUGGGAACGUACCUUUUGGUUCGGAACAACACAGGGAAACUUGUGCUAAUACCGGAUAAGCCCUUACGGGGAAAGAUUUAUCGCCGAAAGAUCGGCCCGCGUCUGAUUAGCUAGUUGGUAGGGUAAUGGCCUACCAAGGCGACGAUCAGUAGCUGGUCUGAGAGGAUGAUCAGCCACAUUGGGACUGAGACACGGCCCAAACUCCUACGGGAGGCAGCAGUGGGGAAUAUUGGACAAUGGGGGCAACCCUGAUCCAGCCAUGCCGCGUGAGUGAUGAAGGCCCUAGGGUUGUAAAGCUCUUUUGUGCGGGAAGAUAAUGACGGUACCGCAAGAAUAAGCCCCGGCUAACUUCGUGCCAGCAGCCGCGGUAAUACGAAGGGGGCUAGCGUUGCUCGGAAUCACUGGGCGUAAAGGGUGCGUAGGCGGGUUUUUAAGUCAGGGGUGAAAUCCUGGAGCUCAACUCCAGAACUGCCUUUGAUACUGAAGAUCUUGAGUCCGGGAGAGGUGAGUGGAACUGC